GAUGAACGCUAGCGACAGGCUUAGCACAUGCAAGUCGAGGGGCAGCAUAGAAGUAGCAAUACUUUGGUGGCGACCGGCGCACGGGUGAGUAACGCGUAUGCAACCUACCUAUCAGAGGGGGAUAACCCGGCGAAAGUCGGACUAAUACCGCAUAAAACAGGGGCACCGCAUGGUGAUAUUUGUUAAAGAUUAAUUGCUGAUAGAUGGGCAUGCGUUACAUUAGGUAGUUGGUGAGGUAAUGGCUCACCAAGCCGACGAUGGAUAGGGGAACUGAGAGGUUGAUCCCCCACACUGGUACUGAGACACGGACCAGACUCCUACGGGAGGCAGCAGUGAGGAAUAUUGGUCAAUGGGCGAGAGCCUGAACCAGCCAAGUCGCGUGAAGGAAGAAGGGUCUAUGGUUCGUAAACUUCUUUUGCAGGGGAAUAAAGUGGAGGACGUGUCCUCUUUUGUAGGUACCCUGAGAAUAAGGAUCGGCUAACUCCGUGCCAGCCGCCGCAGUAA
RNAcentral lists this ribosomal RNA (504 nucleotides) under uncultured bacterium. RNAcentral's name for it is "partial 16S ribosomal RNA". It matches the Rfam family "Bacterial small subunit ribosomal RNA", at positions 28 to 523 of the family's 1533-position model. The record is from RNAcentral.